Cajanus cajan (pigeon pea) is the source of this 568-nucleotide non-coding RNA. Lineage: Eukaryota; Viridiplantae; Streptophyta; Magnoliopsida; Fabales; Fabaceae. The record is from RefSeq and is a predicted model, not a curated record.
GGUAAAUUUAGGGGAAAUCCAAAAAUGCAGGGAUUUCUGUUUGACAAAAGCGCGUGAUUGGAGUGUCCCAUAAAUUGCAUAUUCCGAAUCUUAAUCGCAUGUGAUCCAUUUUUACAGAUUCACACUUUCUUUCGUUUGGUUUCGUUGAAAGGGUCCUACUUCGAAGCCGUCUUCGUAUUUCUCGUAAACCUCAAACCAAGUGAAGCCCAAUUGGGUAGUAUUUGAUACAUGGACUUUAGAGCCUAUUUGAUUCAAGACGACUUACAAUAAAGGAUAUCCUUAAACAGAGAAUAUAUGCCUGAGUAAAAAGGAGAUUCAUCUUUAUGUCAUGGAUUGAGACUUGGCUAAAAGUGAAAGAUCUGGUUGAAGGAAUAGUAGAAGCAAAAUGUUAGUGGAUCUGUGUAGUUGUAUAAGAGAUGUUAAAUUGGUUUGGAAGUUGCAUAUGUUACUGUUAUGAGAUUUCUAAAAGUUGACGAAUAGAAGAAACGGGACAUUUUGUACUAAACUAUGUUUAAUCUGAGAUGUUGGCUGCUAUAUAGGAGUAUAUGCAUUUUUGUGCCUGGUUGAA